ACGGCGAGUGAAGCGGCAAAAGCUCAAAUUUGAAAUCUAACACUUUCAGUGUUCGAGUUGUAAUUUGAAGAAAGUUUCUCUGAGUAGUCCUUUAUCUAUGUUCCUUGGAACAGGACGUCAUAGAGGGUGAGAAUCCCGUAUGAUUUUGGAUACUAUUCUUUGUGAGAUUCUUUCGAAGAGUCGAGUUGUUUGGGAAUGCAGCUCUAAGUGGGUGGUAAAUUCCAUCUAAAGCUAAAUAUUGGCGAGAGACCGAUAGCGAACAAGUACAGUGAUGGAAAGAUGAAAAGAACUCUGAAGAGAGAGUGAAAAAGUACGUGAAAUUGCUGAAAGGGAAGGGCUUUAGGUCAGACUUGGUGUUUAAUGAUUAUCUUCUCUUUUUGAGUUGUGCACUCGUUUUUCACUGGGCCAAUAUCAGUUUCUGUGGUAGAGCACCUAUUGGAAUGUAGCUUUUCUUCGGAUGAGUGUUAUAGCCUUUAGACGAUCUAUUUACGGAGACUGAGGACUGCGCGUUAUGCUAGGAUAUUGGCGUAAUGACCUUAAGCCGCCCGUCUUGAACCACGGACCAAAA
This 568-nucleotide ribosomal RNA is filed under the name Saccharomycopsis crataegensis. RNAcentral's name for it is "LSU rRNA". It matches the Rfam family "Eukaryotic large subunit ribosomal RNA", at positions 86 to 671 of the family's 3401-position model. The record is from RNAcentral. Lineage: Eukaryota; Fungi; Ascomycota; Saccharomycetes; Ascoideales; Saccharomycopsidaceae.